This is a non-coding RNA of Drosophila melanogaster (fruit fly), 201 nucleotides long. The record is from Ensembl. NCBI's taxonomy places the organism in Eukaryota, Metazoa, Arthropoda, Insecta, Diptera, Drosophilidae.
UUUGUGAAUAUAAUCCACUUGAUGAACAAUAUAAACGCUACAAUGAUGCUGAAAAAAACUAUUAUUUUAAUUUUACUGGCUGCUCUUCUGGACAAAUCUGGUGCAAAAAAAGUCGACGGCUACAAAUGGUGCACGGUGGUCAAAAAUGGAGUCUGUGUGAAUUAAAAACUUUAUAAAUAUUAAAUAAAAUAUGUCCCUGUG